RNAcentral lists this ribosomal RNA (712 nucleotides) under Acinetobacter baumannii. Its description in RNAcentral is "bacterial SSU rRNA". It matches the Rfam family "Bacterial small subunit ribosomal RNA", at positions 151 to 857 of the family's 1533-position model. Lineage: Bacteria; Pseudomonadati; Pseudomonadota; Gammaproteobacteria; Moraxellales; Moraxellaceae. The record is from RNAcentral.
UCGAAAGGGAUGCUAAUACCGCAUACGUCCUACGGGAGAAAGCAGGGGAUCUUCGGACCUUGCGCUAAUAGAUGAGCCUAAGUCGGAUUAGCUAGUUGGUGGGGUAAAGGCCUACCAAGGCGACGAUCUGUAGCGGGUCUGAGAGGAUGAUCCGCCACACUGGGACUGAGACACGGCCCAGACUCCUACGGGAGGCAGCAGUGGGGAAUAUUGGACAAUGGGGGGAACCCUGAUCCAGCCAUGCCGCGUGUGUGAAGAAGGCCUUAUGGUUGUAAAGCACUUUAAGCGAGGAGGAGGCUACUUUAGUUAAUACCUAGAGAUAGUGGACGUUACUCGCAGAAUAAGCACCGGCUAACUCUGUGCCAGCAGCCGCGGUAAUACAGAGGGUGCGAGCGUUAAUCGGAUUUACUGGGCGUAAAGCGUGCGUAGGCGGCUUAUUAAGUCGGAUGUGAAAUCCCCGAGCUUAACUUGGGAAUUGCAUUCGAUACUGGUGAGCUAGAGUAUGGGAGAGGAUGGUAGAAUUCCAGGUGUAGCGGUGAAAUGCGUAGAGAUCUGGAGGAAUACCGAUGGCGAAGGCAGCCAUCUGGCCUAAUACUGACGCUGAGGUACGAAAGCAUGGGGAGCAAACAGGAUUAGAUACCCUGGUAGUCCAUGCCGUAAACGAAAUCUACUAGCCGUUGGGGCCUUUGAGGCUUUAGUGGCGCAGCUAACG